UAAUUUCAUAUACAUCGAGGUUUUGUGUUCAAUUCCCUUCUUUCAAUAUCGAUGAUGUAAAAAAAUAUUUCACAUUUUUUUUGUUCGAAAAUAACUAUUCAUGUCAACAAAUCUCCAAGUUUUUCUUUAUUUCCUUACAUUGAAAAAAAGAAAAAAGAAAAAAGAAAAAAAAGAAGCCAGUCUAAUGGGGACCUUUGUUUUAGGUAUUCUUGUCAAAAUGGCAUUCAAAUGCAAAUUCAACACAAAAUCGUUCAGAAAUGGUAGUGGAUAGCAUUUCUUCAAAACAAAGUCAUCCCCAUCUAAUUUCUCUCUCUCUCUCUCUCUCUCUCUCUCUCUCUCUCUCUCAAACAUUAUUACCCAGUUACAAACACACUCUUUUCAUGACAAUUAGGAAUUCCCUUUCAUCUUUAAACCAACCCAAAGAAUACCAAAACGAAAUAGCUAACGUUUUCAGCUCAAAUGGGCUUUAAAGCCAUCGCGUGUGAUAUGAGAAAAACGUACGUCGGCAGAUUCACAGGAAUGCCUUCACGAUGUAGUUGCUGUCUGAAACCGAAAGGGUCUCCCAGAAUUCAUCUGCAAAAUCAGAUUCAGUUCAUAUUUCCUUCUUCAGGAUAAAUGGUCGGUGGAAGCUAAACUUAAAUGCUUUAUUUAUAUUAGGGGGAAGAAGCAGAAGCAGGACAAGUCCACAAAAUCAAAAGGGGGCCAAAGUCAACCAAAUUUUACAUUGCUAGAUUUUACAUUUGAGUCAAGUCACUCAGGUGGAAACUAUGAUUGAUGAAAGAAACAAUCUCUUCUACACAGCUUCGCAAAUCUAAAACACUAAAUCGAGGUGUUUUUACAAGUGGAUGUGUCUAAAGUCAGGCAUGUGAUCAUCAAAGGCAAUUGAAAUUUCUCAAAGGAACCCAGAUGAAAGUCCAAGAAUUUGAUAAAGUGAAAAAAGCUAUGCCAUUAACAUCA
Long non-coding RNA from Prunus persica (peach), 957 nucleotides. RefSeq lists it as uncharacterized. The record is from RefSeq and is a predicted model, not a curated record. The transcript is spliced from 2 exons. Lineage: Eukaryota; Viridiplantae; Streptophyta; Magnoliopsida; Rosales; Rosaceae.